Molecule: non-coding RNA, 185 nt
Organism: Bacillus sp. FJAT-18017
Lineage: Bacteria; Bacillati; Bacillota; Bacilli; Caryophanales; Bacillaceae
Rfam family: 6S / SsrS RNA
About the family: E. coli 6S RNA was the first non coding RNA to be sequenced, but its function was unknown until recently. It consists of 184 nucleotides that fold into an extended hairpin structure with a large single-stranded internal bulge. The 6S RNA specifically associates with RNA polymerase holoenzyme containing the sigma70 specificity factor.
Source: Rfam
AGAGUCCUGAAGUGUACGUUGCAUCGCCUAAAUGUUUUGACCGAACAUUUUUUCUUCGGGAGUCCGGGUUUCGUUGCCGCGUAAAUGCCCUUUUUAGGGACUUACAGUGACGGCGGACAGGACACCCACCUGCUUAAUGCGGGCCAAAACGAAGGAAUCAGGUAACGGCACAAGUUGGGACUCUU